Callorhinus ursinus (northern fur seal) is the source of this 882-nucleotide non-coding RNA. The record is from RefSeq and is a predicted model, not a curated record. Lineage: Eukaryota; Metazoa; Chordata; Mammalia; Carnivora; Otariidae.
GUUCGUGGGGAGCGUGAGCAGCGUCCACAGCAGGGGGGCCAUGCUCGCCGCCGUGGCCUGGGCCGUGGGCGAGUACCUGUCCGUGUCCUGGGACCGGCGGUGCACCGUGGAGCAGAUCACCAGGUUCUUCGAGGCCCUGGAGGCCCUGCUGUUCGAGGUCACCCAGUCCCGCCCGUCUGCCGCCCUUCCCAAGUGCCCCCCACAGGUCAUCGCCGUGCUCAUGACCACGCUGACCAAGCUGGCCUCCCGGAGCCAAGACCUGAUUCCCAGGGUCUCUCUGUUCCUGUCAAAGAUGAGGACCCUGGCACAGAGCCCAGCGCUGAGCUCCGUGCACGGGGAGGAGGAUGCGGGAGCCAUCUGCACGCGGGCCACCGAGCUGCUGACCCUGCUAAAGAUGCCCAGCGUGGCCCAGUUUGUGCUCACGCCGAGCGCGGAGGUGUCCGAGCCCCGCUAUCACCGUGAUGCCAACACGGCCCUGCCGCUGGCCCUACGCACAGUCAGCCGCCUGGUGGAAAAGGAGGCGGGCCUCCUGCCUGGGUGAAGGGACGGUGGCCGGGGCAACGCCGGCCGGCCGCAGAUUAAGAGCCUGGUAUUAGGGCCAAGCUGCGGCUGCUGUGACCAGAGGGCAAGUCAGAGGGUCGCAAGGCCCGGGGAGGAGGCCCGGGAGGGUCUGGGUCCCUCCGUGCUGAGGCAGGGCUGUCCCAUCCUCGGCCUUCGGGUGUCUUGUCUGUCUGUCUGUCUCUGCUGUGCUGAGCUGUGUGGUGGAACAGAUCUGAUCUGGAGCGCUCGUGCUGUUGGGGGCUGGAUGGGGGCUGCCUGGUCUGUUUCUGGUGCUCCUUGCUCGGGGGCGAGAAGAGGUACGGCAACAAUAAACCUCUUUCA